RNAcentral lists this ribosomal RNA (438 nucleotides) under uncultured archaeon. Its description in RNAcentral is "partial 16S ribosomal RNA". The record is from RNAcentral.
ACGGCACCGACAACGGUCGCACCGUGGCCGACACCUAGCGAGUAUCGUUUACGGCUAGGACUACCCGGGUAUCUAAUCCGGUUCGUGCCCCUAGCUUUCGUCCCUUGCCGUCAGGUCCGUUCUGGUGAGACGCCUUCGCCACUGGUGGUCCUUCAAGGAUUACAAGAUUUCACCCCUACCCCUGAAGUACCUCUCACCUCUCCCGGCCUCGAGCCAGACAGUAUCUCCUGAAAGCCUGACAGUUAAGCUGCCAGAUUUCUCAAGAGACUUAUCCGGCCGGCUACAGACCCUUUAGACCCAAUAAUAACGGUUACCACUCGAGCCGCCGGUGUUACCGCGGCGGCUGGCACCGGUCUUGCCCGGCCCUUGCUAUGAAAUGCUUUUUAGGCAUCUCGACAGCCAGAUUUGUAACCUGGCACUCGAGGUUCCCUUAUCGCU